CAUGUCUUUUUGAUUAUAAUUUUAAGUUUGAUCUGCUCAAUGAGGAUUUAAAUUGCCGCAGUAUUUUGACUGUGCAAAGGUAGCAUAAUAAUUAGUUUCUUAAUUAGAAGCUUGAAUGAAGGAUUUGACAAGAAAUUAGCUGUCUCUUUUUAAUUUUUAUAAAAUUUUAUUUUUAAGUAAAAAAGCUUAAAUUUUUUUAAAAGACGAGAAGACCCUAUAGAGUUUAAUAUUAUAUUUAUUUAUUUAUUUUUGAAAAUAAUAAUUAUUUAAAUAUUUAGUUGGGGUGAUUUGAAGAUAAAAUUAAUUCUUUGAAAUAUUUUAUUGAAGAUUAUUAAUUUAGUAGUCUUAUUUUUUAAAGAUUAAAAUAAAUUACCUUAGGGAUAACAGCGUUAUUUUUUUUUAAAGUUCUUAUUAAAAAAAAAGUUUGCGACCUCGAUGUUGGAUUAAAAUUAAUUUUUGGUGAAGUAGCUUAAGGAUUAGGUCUGUUCGACCUUUAAAAUU
This 501-nucleotide ribosomal RNA is filed under the name Libnetis granicollis. RNAcentral's name for it is "partial large subunit ribosomal RNA". The stretch from base 380 to 501 matches the Rfam family "Bacterial large subunit ribosomal RNA", at positions 2473 to 2595 of the family's 2925-position model. Lineage: Eukaryota; Metazoa; Arthropoda; Insecta; Coleoptera; Lycidae. The record is from RNAcentral.